UAUACGUAUGUACAUGUAUAUAAUAUAUAAUGCAUAUAUAGUAUAUAUGAUGUGUGUGUGUGUGGCCACAGGGUCCUUGGGAGAGGAAUAAGCAAUGGACUACAAUAAGAAGCUUGGACUUGGGAGUUGACAGAAUCCACAGAGGAGUAUGAUAUGAUGUAGACCUCGAGGUAUGCACACUUAUGAACUAUUACGUGCGUGAUGGCAUUGGGUUGGACUCCAGAGAGAGGCUCACACACCAGAGUCCAUACUUACUAAUUCCGUUGGAUCUUUGUACACCUUAGUUGCUUCAUCUUCAUAAGAGCUGGGGGGGGGGUGUCAGUGGGUAGAGUGCUUACUGGGCAAGCAUGAGAACAGGGGUUUGGAUCCCCAGAGCCCACACAAGGCUAGAUAUGAUAGCAUUCAUCUGUAACACCAGAAAGCCUACAGCAAGACAGGAGGCAGAGAUGGGAGCUGAAAGCUCUCAGGACAGUUUGCCUGAAACAUAUGCAACAUUGCCGUAACAGGAGACCCCACCUCAAAGGUGGAAGGUGAGGGCCAACACAUGAGGCUGGCCUCUGACUUCCGUGUGUGCUAAGGCACGUACGCAUGUGCACGCGUAUACACAGAGGAAAGGAGAGUGAUGCUUGACUUUUGACCUGGUUAAAAUGGAAAGCAUGUGUCAGCACGCUCUACCUUACUGCUGAUCGAGACUAAGGUCUCUUUCAUAAGACUUGGGCUGGCACACAGCCUUUGGAUCUGAAGGAAGAGAUUAAAAAACAGAUCCACCUUGUGGAAAAUACCAGGCCCUAGGAGACUAGACAUAAAGCUUCUUUAAGGCUCGGUUUGACUCCAGGAAUUUGGGUUCUUCCAGGCUACCAAAUAGACAGAGUAGUCUGAGGGUCUGGGCUGCUGGCCACCCUGGUUACUAAGCCAGGCUGUCACUAAACAAGGCCUUGCAUCACUGGGACUAUCUGUCACCUAGAAUCUCACAGCAGCUACCUAGCUAGUUAGUCCCAUCUCUGCUUCCUCCUACCCCAAAUCUCUUCACAACAGGUUACCACAAUCCCUGAAGUUCUGCAAUGAGUCUCCAAUUCCCUCAGAGUGAAAGCUAAGGUCUUUUGACAUCCUUCAGGGCUCAGGAGCUGUUUCCUGUCUGACUCCAUCUCCUGCUGCUCUCCUCUCUGAGCCUCUUGGGCUCUGCUGCCUCCUCCCUCAGGCUCUGACUACACCCUCUGAUUGGAGAGUCUUGCUUGAGGAUAUCCACAUGCAACUCACUCACUCCCACAAAUCUUUGCUCAAGUGUCAACUCCUCAAGGAAACUCCUGACAACCCUUUCUAAAAUAGUAACUGCACACCGCCUACCCCCAGCAUGCUGCAACCCAGUUACCCUGCGAUUAUCUCUUUGAGGAGCAUUCGUCGCCCAACUCACCUCGUCGUUUACUGACUUUUCUCCGUGGAUCUUUCUCUGUCUCCCUUCACUAGAGGAUAAGCCACAUGAAGGCAGUGACUUCGGCAAGUCUUACAUAUCCUGAGGGCCUAGAACACUUAGUGGCUGCCCAGAAAUACCGGCUGGUUUUUGACUUGGCUCAUUUGGGAUGCUGGAGGCAAAGAAGCAAGCCUACUGUCCAUUGAUGAUGAGCUGACAGUUGGUAACCAACUUCCAAGGAGGAUCUGAGCUCAUUCUAGGGCAGAAGCAAUUUAUUCCCUCCCACCCUCCCCCUCCUUGUCAAGCUGAAAGUUGAGUCCUAACCUUGCACGAAGCUCUGCAGCUUUCCUCGUGCAUUAGCUGUUUCCCUUGCUGUGAGAACAGACUCCAUGUGUAGACGGGGCUCGCCUCAAACUCAGAGAUCCAUCUGCUUCUGUCUCCCACCUCCUAGGACUACCUAACUCCAACCGAUAACCACUCACAAAGGAAGAUGUGUGUUUGUUUUCUAGUGAGAAAGAGUGUGGAGCCAAGUAGAAGAGAUGGUGAGGAUCUGGGAGGAGUCAGAGGAGGGCACACUAAUACAAUCAAGAUGAAUUGUAUGAAGAAUCUAUUUUCAAUGAACAAAAAGAGAUAUGGGCUAACACACCCAGCCUUUUCUUCCCUUUAAGACCGGAUGCCAUAGUUACUUCCCCUAGGAAGCCCUCCUUGGUGAGCCUGUCUGGCAGUAUCACGAGCUUCCUGCAGCCUUGGGUGCUCUUGGCUGUUUCAUAAGAGCUAGCUCUGCUGCUCAAGGAGGCUCUGGGCCUUUGACUAUCUGCAUAAAGUGCAGUGUGGUACUUCAGACUCCUGAGCCAAGCACUGGACAGUGUUGUCCAAUGGGUUGAUCAGUGGUGGCAAUAAGGCAGACAGGUGCAAACAGGCAUUUCGUCAGGAAGAGCAGAGAGUGAACCUCUUCUACCCAGUUGACCGGUUCUGAGGUAUCAUCUACUUCCACAUCCAGGCACCAGGCUAGAGGGAUGAGCCUGGGCUAUUUGCAGCUGGCACUUGGCAGAGUUGUAUGCACAGGCAUCGGUGGCCUUAGCUGCCUUUCUGUCUCACUUCCCAGGAUUUGGGUGCCCUGAGUCUGUCGGGCCUGUGAUCUACUGGAUUGAUUGUAGAGCAGUGAUCCUUCUCACCAGGAGAGUGCACGAGUGAGACAUGUGGGCGAGUACCCGUGCUUGUUUAAAAAGCAUUUUGAGAGAAGAAAACUGGAGGCAGGACACAGACAGAACAGAGAGAAUGGAGGAAUCGAUUACCUAGUAUCAAGCAUUUUACUAUAGCUGCAGAAAUGGCAGAGAGAAGGGAAAUUGAGAACUGAGGGAGGGAGGGAGAGAGCAAUGCUAGUCUAUGAUGAUAGGACAUCCUUGACACGCCAGGGAGAGCAUGGUCCUGGGAGGCGGGACUUCCUGUGUCACAGCAAACAUUCAGCACUUCCUCUGGGUUAUACACUGGCAGAGCACUGUGAUUGAAGGUACGUUCCCCAAGGUCACGUGCGCUGAAGGCUUGGUUCCUAAUGGGAGUUGGGGCCUAGUGGAGAUCCUUAGGUCAUUGGGGCACACCCUUGAAGGGGGAGCAACAUACUCUUUCACCUGAAGCCCCUGAACUGAGAAAUUUACUCGGUCUCUGUUCUUGUUCCCAGCAGGCUGUGUGUUCUCACCAGAGAAACGAAUCUUCAACCUUGGGCACCCCAAAACCAUGAGCCGUGGCAAAUCUUUCCCCCUCUUGAUGUGGCAUCUCAGGCUAUUACCUCACAGUCACAGAGAACUGACUAGCACACUUGGUGUGGGUCUGUUGGAGAGCAAAGGCAGAAUAACGAAAGAACCCAACGUGCGCCUUCUGAUGCUUUCAAGGUGUCUCCAUCUGUUUUCUGCUGCUAUAGUAAAAUGCUUGAUACUAGGCAAUUUGCAAAGGAAAGAGGCUUAUUUAGGUUAAUGGAGAGUGGGAUGCUGGAGAAUCUGGUGACAACAUCUGUCAAGUUUCUCCAGAGGGUCUUGUUCUGCUUCAACCCAUGGCAAAAAGUGGAAGAGCGAGUGGCUGCAGGCUCGAGAGGCAGGACACAGGUGUGGCCUGGCUUCAUGUCAGCCUGCUCUUGUGAUAGCUGAUCUUGUUGUCUGCAUUAAUCCCUCUUGUGGAACUAGUCACCUCUUAGAGGCUUCAUUACCCCACCACCCAGCACAUUAGACGAGGAAUCGAAUUCCAGCGUGCACUUCAGAGGAGACAACCCAUAUUCAAACCCCAGCAGGAGGAGCUAAAGCAGGAGGCUUUGGUGUCACGCCCACACCACAGAAACAACAUUAUCCAGGCUGGCGGCACAACUAGCCAUAUCAUCCCUAUGCGUAAAAUAAAGAUAUGGGGUCAGGUGAUGUCUGAGAUGCUUUCUAGUCCUCACAUGUUUUUGUAAGCCAAGGGUGGGCUUGAUGUGGAGCGUCUGACUGGGGUCAGCUAGAGGAAGAAACCAUGUGAGCUCCCAGUGAGAGAGGACGUCGGUUUGGGAAGAUGAGACAUGGUCAGUCGUGUGAGCAUAACUGGAUGAGGGUGUGGCACCUGCUGAAACAACAGACGCGUCAUCCCCGACAGACCCUGCAGCCUAGGUGGAGUUUCUGGGCUUGUAAAACACUAACCCAAACAUGGCAAGACGUUAAUCUGUAGGGGACAGAUUAGUGUGUAUGUGGCUCAGCUGACCACAGGGCAGGGACUAGGGAUGGCAAUGGCCAGAAAUGGGGCAGGGAACCGGGCUGUGAACUCGUCCGGUUCUUAGCUCCACUUUUCCUUUUGUGGCAUGUGCAUGUGCCUGUCUGUGUGGAGUCCUUCUUCUUCAGGAGCAGAUGAGUAAACUGGACUUACCUGUCUUGGGCUUCCCUUCCCUUCCCUUCCCUUCCCUUUCCUUGUGUGUAAAAACACAUAUCUGUGUGAAGUCCUUUUCCGGGAGUAGUCCAGUCUACCUUGUGUUUUGAGACAGACUCUCUCACUGGGACUCGGACCUGCUGGUUAAGCCAGUCUGGCUGGCUAAUGAAUCCCAAGGAUCCUUCCCACCCUGCCUCCUCAGUGCUGGGACUAAAAGCAGCAGCACCACGAUCCCCAUCCCUUUUCGAUGUGGGUGCUGGAGACUGGACUUAGGUUCUCAUGCUUCUUGCCCAGCAGCGACUUUACCCACUGAGCUCUCUCCUGGUCCCUCCCUCUCACCUCUCACCUCUCACCACGCUGUUGAGACUCUCAAUCCAGGCUGGCCUCAUCCUCACUGUGGUGAUGAGAAUGGCCUUGAACUUCUGACUUUCCUGUCUACAUCUCAAAACCUGGUUUACAUUUUACUGGAGAGAAAGCCUGGGGCUUCUUGGAUGCUAGGUAACAAUAUCCAACUGAAGUCCAUCCUGAGACCUCUACUGACUAUUUCUUUAUGCUGAGCUAUUUGGGCUGAGCGCGCUGGGGCUCUUUAAUGCUGGGGAGGGGAAUGUCAAUCAAGAUGACACACACAUGGGGAGGUGGGGUUGACUGAUUGGUGUGCAUAUGAGAAGUGGUAUAAUUUUAUCUUCUAACCCAGCCUGGCAGGGCCUGGGAGUUACUUAGUUUUUAAAGAAGGAAGACAAAAACCAGCAUAUACGAGUCUGUGGUUGUGCUCACAUGGGUCGCAGCUUGUGAGGAGGCAGCUGAAAUCCCAAAUCAAUAAGGUAAUUGAGUCAUUUCCCUCAAGAGUCUCAGGCUAUUACUUUAAGUGGACACAGGGCAGUCGGCUGUGUUUGUUGAGCUGUAAUCAGCUUUGGACUCAUUGGACACAUUGAUCUCUUCUAACACCAUUCGGUGUUUGCACUGAACUGGGAGAGGUUGUCUCUGUCUCCUCCGUCCGUUCCUCCCUCAGUCCUUUCCUCCCCAUUCCCCGGGCUUCCAAAGAACCAAAGCAAAUGCGUAUUUUCCUCUGCCAGCUAGGCCGGAGGCUUUCUGCUCCCCAUCACUUGUUCUAACAGCAAAAAUCAAUUUUCCAAGACUCUACACUUCUACACACACACACACACACACACACACACACACACACACACACACAUCCUCCUCUCAACAAAUGUGCUUUUUAAUUUAGGAAAAGCGUCAAAACAACAGGUCCACUAUAGUUCUACAGUGUGUCCUAGGGCAGAAAAGCAGUUCCCAACCCGGCAAGGGACAUUGUCCUCAUUGAAGCUGCUCCCAACUCUGGUCAGCUCACAAUCCCAACCUUUGUGAUGACCAAAGAAUCAUGGCCUGUCCCCUUCCCCUCAGACUCCACCCUGCUGGCCCCCAAAGGUCACUGUCAGUGAUGUCACGGAAAAGUAUGUGUUAGAGCCUGUCCUCAGAGGCAGCCCUGGAAACUGCUGGUGGAUUCCAGAAAGUUGGCAGCGUUGCACUCCUUUUACUGAGCCCUGGCCCUGAGAAACGUCUCCAUCUUGAAUGCAGGACACAGGGGAAGGACUCCACUGUGGCUGGUGUGACCUGGAUGGGUGACCCCUCGGACAGUGUGGAUGCUCUGACUUCUACUGUGGUUUCCAUAUUCUUUCCCCUGGCAGUCCAUGGAGUACGGGGGGUGGGAGGGGACUUAGUCCUUCCCCCUAGUCCCUAGCCUCUCCUUGUAG
Molecule: small RNA, 6042 nt
Filed under: Rattus norvegicus (Norway rat)
Lineage: Eukaryota; Metazoa; Chordata; Mammalia; Rodentia; Muridae
Description: uncharacterized LOC102553924
Source: RNAcentral